This 253-nucleotide ribosomal RNA is filed under the name uncultured bacterium. Its description in RNAcentral is "partial 16S ribosomal RNA". It matches the Rfam family "Bacterial small subunit ribosomal RNA", at positions 524 to 776 of the family's 1533-position model. The record is from RNAcentral.
UACGUAGGGUGCGAGCGUUAAUCGGAAUUACUGGGCGUAGAGCGUGCGCAGGCGGUUUUGCAAGCCAGAUGUGAAAUCCCCGGGCUUAACCUGGGAAUGGCAUUUGGGACUGCAAGGCUUGAGUUUGGCAGAGGAGACUGGAAUUCCUGGUGUAGCAGUGAAAUGCGUAGAUAUCAGGAGGAAUACCGAUGGCGAAGGCAGGUCUCUGGGCUAGAACUGACGCUCAUGCACGAAAGCGUGGGGAGCAAACAGG